RNAcentral lists this ribosomal RNA (450 nucleotides) under uncultured bacterium. RNAcentral describes it as "bacterial SSU rRNA". It matches the Rfam family "Bacterial small subunit ribosomal RNA", at positions 335 to 799 of the family's 1533-position model. The record is from RNAcentral.
ACUCCUACGGGAGGCAGCAGUGGGGAAUCUUGGACAAUGGGGGCAACCCUGAUCCAGCCAUGCCGCGUGAGUGAUGAAGGCCUUAGGGUCGUAAAGCUCUUUCGCCUGUGAAGAUAAUGACGGUAGCAGGUAAAGAAACCCCGGCUAACUCCGUGCCAGCAGCCGCGGUAAUACGGAGGGGGUUAGCGUUGUUCGGAAUUACUGGGGCGUAAAGCGCACGUAGGCGGAUCGGAAAGUUGGGGGUGAAAUCCCCGGGGCUCAACCCCGGAACGGCCUCCAAAACUAUCGGUCUAGAGUUCGAGAGAGGUGAGUGGAAUUCCGAGUGUAGAGGUGAAAUUCGUAGAUAUUCGGAGGAACACCAGUGGCGAAGGCGGCUCACUGGCUCGAUACUGACGCUGAGGUGCGAAAGUGUGGGGAGCAAACAGGAUUAGAUACCCUGGUAGGACAGUG